CAAGCGGUGGAGCAUGUGGUUUAAUUCGAUGCAACGCGAAGAACCUUACCUACUCUUGACAUCCAGAGAACUUAGCAGAGAUGCUUUGGUGCCUUCGGGAACUCUGAGACAGGUGCUGCAUGGCUGUCGUCAGCUCGUGUUGUGAAAUGUUGGGUUAAGUCCCGCAACGAGCGCAACCCUUAUCCUUUGUUGCCAGCACGUAAUGGUGGGAACUCAAAGGAGACUGCCGGUGAUAAACCGGAGGACACAGAGUGGGGAUGACGUCAAGUCAUCAUGGCCCUUACGAGUAGGGCUACACACGUGCUACAAUGGCGUAUACAAAGGGAAGCGACCUCGCGAGAGCAAGCGGAACUCACAAAGUACGUCGUAGUCCGGAUUGGAGUCUGCAACUCGACUCCAUGAAGUCGGAAUCGCUAGUAAUCGUAGAUCAGAAUGCUACGGUGAAUACGUUCCCGGGCCUUGUACACACCGCCCGUCACACCAUG
RNAcentral lists this ribosomal RNA (485 nucleotides) under Morganella morganii. RNAcentral's name for it is "bacterial SSU rRNA". It matches the Rfam family "Bacterial small subunit ribosomal RNA", at positions 926 to 1406 of the family's 1533-position model. The record is from RNAcentral. Lineage: Bacteria; Pseudomonadati; Pseudomonadota; Gammaproteobacteria; Enterobacterales; Morganellaceae.